GUACUGCUUCGGCAGUACAUAUACUAAAAUUGGAACGAUACAGAGAAGAUUAGCAUGGCCCCUGCGGGGAUGACACGCAAAAUCGUGAAGCGUUCCACAUUUUU
This 104-nucleotide small nuclear RNA is filed under the name Penaeus japonicus. Lineage: Eukaryota; Metazoa; Arthropoda; Malacostraca; Decapoda; Penaeidae. The record is from RNAcentral.